Pantherophis guttatus is the source of this 1217-nucleotide long non-coding RNA. RefSeq lists it as uncharacterized. The record is from RefSeq and is a predicted model, not a curated record. Lineage: Eukaryota; Metazoa; Chordata; Lepidosauria; Squamata; Colubridae.
UGGCGCAGCAGACUAAAGUGCUGUUAAGUAGCACCAGCUGCCUGCAAUUACUGCAAGUUCAAAUCUCACCAGGCUCAAGGUUGACUCAGCCUUCCAUCCUUUCGAGGUAGGUAAAAUGAAGACCCGGAUUGUGGGGGCAAUAAGCUGACUUUGUAUAAAAAAGAACACCACUUGGGGGGGCCCGAAAGUUCUACUAAGCAGGUAUAUACAAAAGUAUGAAGGCUAUUGCUUAACGCAUUGUAAGCCGCCCUGAGUCUCCAGAGAAAGGACGGCAUAUAAAUCAAACAAACAAACAAACAAACAAAUAAAUAAAUAAAUAAAAAUGUUGAUUCUUAAAACAUCUACAAAAAUAAUUAAAAUGUAUGUUUCUGAAUGAUUCUUUAUAAUCAACAGAAUCAGCUAUUUUUAAAAUCAACAGGAUGGAAGUUGCAGAUUGGACAAUUACCUAAAAUUCUCAUUAUGGAAGCUUUUAAAUAAUGCUUCUCUGGGUUGCUAUUUCCCUUGCUAUGAACCCCAAUAACACCCAAUUAUGACUCUAUCUUAUCUAUUUUCCAUCCAUCCAAUCCAACCCUCCAUCCAGGAUUAUUGUUGCCAAGCAAUGCGGUCAUGUGACAUCUUGCUUUAUGACAUCAUUCAGUGACAGAAAUUCCAGUCUUAACUGCCUUCAUAAAUCAAGUGCUAGCUAUACUUAAAAUGAAAAGAGGGAUAAAUGAAGAUAAAUAUUUGGGAAGAAGAUGUUUGUGGUAUUACUGGCACUCACAAGAUUGAGUAGUCAUAAGUCAAGAACUACCUGUAAAAACAAACACUUAAUGGAUAGUUAGAAUGAUAAUUCCAUCACAGAUCUCUGCAAAGCAAGAAGGGAGUUGCAGGAAUAACAAUAAAUGAAUCAGAAUCUUCAACUUGAAAAUUCCUCUUCCCCAUGGAUAGACAUGUAUCUCCGAACUUUGUUUGCAUGCUUCUUACUCUGAAGGAAGAUAACAGGGGACAAGAAGACUAAGCACACCUAUGAGCUUUUAUACACAUAUCAACAAUUUCAACAGCUACUUCUAGUUUAAACCUCACCUGAUAAUGAGCAAGCUUCUGGGAUUCAGAGAUGAGCACUGCGCUACAUACUUUGCACUGGGUGUCAGUGAAGAUGUGGCUAUUUUCUUUGAUCAGUUGAUCCACUGUAAAAGGCAAGAAGAACAUUAAAUAUGAAUGUGAACAUGUGUAAAUAA